This 253-nucleotide ribosomal RNA is filed under the name uncultured bacterium. RNAcentral describes it as "partial 16S ribosomal RNA". It matches the Rfam family "Bacterial small subunit ribosomal RNA", at positions 524 to 776 of the family's 1533-position model. The record is from RNAcentral.
UACGAAGAUGGCAAGCGUUGUUCGGAUUUACUGGGCGUACAGGGAGCGUAGGCGGUUCUUUAAGCCCUUUGUGAAAUCUCCAGGCUUAACCUGGGACAGUCGUUGGAGACUGGAGGUCUUGAGGGCGGGAGAGGAGGGCGGAAUUCCCAGUGUAGAGGUGAAAUUCGUAGAUAUCGGGAAGAACGCCGGUGGCGAAGGCGGCCAUCUGGUCCGGCACUGACGCUGAGGCGCGAAAGCGUGGGGAGCAAACAGG